UAGGGAAUCUUCCACAAUGGACGAAAGUCUGAUGGAGCAACGCCGCGUGAGUGAAGAAGGGUUUCGGCUCGUAAAACUCUGUUGUUAAAGAAGAACAUAUCUGAGAGUAACUGUUCAGGUAUUGACGGUAUUUAACCAGAAAGCCACAGCUAACUACGUGCCUG
This 164-nucleotide ribosomal RNA is filed under the name uncultured bacterium. RNAcentral describes it as "partial 16S ribosomal RNA". It matches the Rfam family "Bacterial small subunit ribosomal RNA", at positions 355 to 511 of the family's 1533-position model. The record is from RNAcentral.